RNAcentral lists this long non-coding RNA (1229 nucleotides) under Coffea arabica (coffee). RNAcentral's name for it is "long non-coding RNA (CARA_LNC007603)". The record is from RNAcentral. Lineage: Eukaryota; Viridiplantae; Streptophyta; Magnoliopsida; Gentianales; Rubiaceae.
AAACUUGGACCAGUUGAAAAAAGAAAUACUCGAGAAAAAUGGGUCUGAGAACAGAUCUUCGUGUUUUCUUCAUCUUGCUUUUGUGGCUCAUCAUUCUCUUCUAUUCAUUUGAAACUUCCUCAGCUCGAAAAUUGAUUCUGAUUCGUAAACUUGGCUCGUGAGUAUCUAUGUCCAUUGCUUUCUUUUCGCAAUCUCUUCGUUGACUUGAUUAAGAUAAUUUGUUUAGCAUUCAGAUCGUUUAUUUCUUUAAUCUGAUGUGGUUAGUUGUUCUACUUAAUUUGUGAAGUUUAGGAGCUCAAAGAGUUCGAAUUUAGAGUGAUUAAUCUUCCCAUCCAAAUAGAUUCGAAUUAAAGAUCGAUCCUUUGCAUGGGAUUGAUUCUUUAGAAGGGAAAAUUAUUUGAGGGUUGUUAAUCGUGUUAUAUUUUCUUCUUGGCCGCCCUGCCGGGAUGAUCAUAAUUGCAUAGAAUGAUGAAGGCUUUUCAACCACUUCUCUAUCCUAUCGAGAGAGAGAGAGAGAGAGAGAGAAAUUGAUCUUUAAGAUAUAAAUUUUGGAAUUGGAGAGAGCUGGUUCUUGAAUUAGGGAGAAAUUGCCUAUAUUUUCAUUUUACAGUUGCAAAAUAAACAUCUGAGGUUUUCAGUCAAAUUGAGCACUUUUUAGUGGUUUAGAAAGCUUAAACUUGGAACUUAUUGAUAAAAGUUUAAUUCUAGCAUUAAAAGUGAGUUACUUCAAAGUUUUCCUCCUUUUCUGUUUCAGUAAGGAAGUUCUUUCUUCCUAUGGAAAAUGAAAAAGAAAGGUAGGUUUAGGAUUAUCAGAAGAAUUAAUGGGAAGGAUUAUCCGUUGAGUAAAUCAAAGAACAGACAGUAAAGCAAUAUAAUCUGCUUUUCCUGUUGUGCGUUUUAUACAUUUUCUAACUGUUUUCUUAUUGGAUUUACAGUGUACCAGUAUCCAGCUCUCCCCAAGGCGGACAUAAUCACUGAAGUGCUCCCCGCAUUUCGAGAAAAGGAAGGAAGCUAUAGGUUUAGAAUAUAAAUUUGCCAAUUCAGAGUAUAGAAUUCAAACUUCGAAUUGUAAUUUUACAUAGUUAUUGUAUUAAUUCAUUUAAAAUGCUCUAGUUUGUUCGAACUAACAUUUGUAACUUUUUUUGUUUCAUCAUAUAUUCAUGUCUAUUUUUAGCAUGGAAGCUGACGUAUGGUUUUCCAUCGAUUUAAUCCCUUCAGUUCAAUUAAAA